GACGAACGCUGGCGGCGUGCUUAACACAUGCAAGUCGAGCGGUAAGGCCCUUUCGGGGGUACGACGAGCGGCGAACGGGUGAGUAACACGUGGGUGACCUGCCCUCAGCUCUGGGAUAAGCCUGGGAAACUGGGUCUAAUACUGGAUAUGACUCCACGGUGCAUGUCGUGGGGUGGAAAGCCUUGUGCGGCUGAGGAUGGGCCCGCGGCCUAUCAGCUUGUUGGUGGGGUGANGGCCUACCAAGGCGACGACGGGUAGCCGGCCUGAGGGGGCGACCGGCCACACUGGGGACUGAGACACGGCCCAGACUCCUACGGGAGGCAGCAGUGGGGAAUCUUGCGCAAUGGGCGAAAGCCUGACGCAGCGACGCCGCGUGAGGGAUGACGGCCU
This 390-nucleotide ribosomal RNA is filed under the name uncultured bacterium. RNAcentral describes it as "bacterial SSU rRNA". It matches the Rfam family "Bacterial small subunit ribosomal RNA", at positions 28 to 417 of the family's 1533-position model. The record is from RNAcentral.